Molecule: long non-coding RNA, 3013 nt
Filed under: Sus scrofa (pig)
Lineage: Eukaryota; Metazoa; Chordata; Mammalia; Artiodactyla; Suidae
Description: lncRNA (ENSSSCG00050029346.1)
Source: RNAcentral
UUUCAUCAGUAUUUUGUUUUUUUAAAAAGUAUCAGUUCAUGAGAGAUUAAAGAUAAUCAAAACAAGGAGUUCCUGUUGUGGCUCAGCGGUAAUAUGGAACCCAGAUAGUAUCCAUGAAGAUGCAGGUUUGAUCCCUGGCCUUGCUCAAUGGGUUAAGUAUCCAGCAUUGCCAUCAGCUGUGGUGUAGGUUGGAGACAUGGCUUAGAUCCCAUAUUGCAGUGGCUAUGGUGUAGGUUGCAGACGCGGCUCAGAUCCCGCGUUGCUGUGGCUCUGGCGUAGGCCGGUGGCUACAGCUCCGAUUCAACCCCUAGCCUGGGAACCUCCAUAUGCCGCGGGAGCGGCCCAAGAAAUAGCAACAACAACAACAAAAGACAAAAAGACAAAAAAAAUAAUAAUAAUAAUAAUAACAAAAAGAAAUUAUCUGGCCCUUACCACAGAUAAUUUAAGAAGUAAUUUCUUAAAGCACACAUUGGAAAACAUAGGUUAAAUAAAGGCCAAAAGUAUGAAAAAGCACUUUGAAAUCCAGGUGCCACUUUUGUUUCUAGGCUACUUUCUUGCCAUUUCUCUGGUUGCACCCUGUAAGCCAACUGAGUUAACUGGCUUUUCUGUAUCUCACAUUGAUCCAAGCUGUUCAUCUACCUGAUAAGCCUUUGUCCCAAUUACCUGCCUGGUGCACUUCUCCUUAUCCUUCCAAAUUCAGCUCCAAACGCUGGUUCUAUGACAAAUCCUCAGAUUGCUCUAUAUAGAUUUGGGUACCCCUUUGCACUUCCAUAGCAUUCUGGUAACCUUAUUCAAAAGUUGAUUCCCUUCUCUUGAAUCAUUUUCUUUACCACAAACAUACAUUGGCCACUUGCAGUCUGCAAGGCUCUAUACUCUCACUGGUGGAUAUAAUUAAGUACAAGUUCUUGCCCUUGGGAGUUCACUCUGGAGUAAAUACAACAUCACCUACUAAUUAUUCAGAAUUUAUUGUUUAACAGAUUUAAGACAUAAUUUGCAUAUCAUCCAAUUCACCUGUAUAAUGCAAUCAUCUCUAGUGCCUUCACAGGGUUUUACAACCAUCACCACAAUCGAUUUUAGAGCAUUUUCAUCAUCUCCCCAAAUGUUUUCCUAUCAGUAGUCAAUUACUUUCCCACACACCCCACACCUCAUCACUGGCAAACCACUAAUCUAAUUUCUUUGGUCUCUAUAGAUUUGUCUGAUCUGGGCUUUCCUAUAAAUUGAAUUAUACUAUAUACAGGCUUGUGUGUGUGUGCAUGCACACCUACCCACCUGGCUUCUUUCACUUAAGAGUAAUAUUUUUCAAGAUUAGCACAUUGUAGCAUGCAUCAGUACUUUAUUCCUUUUUGUUACCAAAUAAUACACCAUUGCAUGGGUAUCCCAUAUUUUAUUUAUCCAUUCAUCAGUUGAUAAACAUUUACUUUGUUUCUUUUUAGGUAUUAGAAAUAAUACUAUUAUGAACAUUUAUAUACAAGAUUUUGCAUGGAAAUAUGUUCCCAUUUCCCUUGAGUAUAUACCUAGGAGGGAACUGCUGGGUUGUAUUAUGUAAUAUGUUCAAUAGUAGCCUGCCAAAGAUGUUUACAUGUCUAACCCCUAGAAUCUAUGAAUGGUAAAUCAUCACAGAUGAAAUUAAGCUAAGAAUCUUGAUAUGAGAUCAUCUUGGAUUUCCUAGAUGGGCCUUAUAUCUAAUGACAAGUGUUCUUAUAAGAAACAAGACAAACAGAGGAAAAGGCCAUGUGAGGAUAAAAGCAGAGAUGGGAAUAAUGGAGCCACAAACCAGGAAAACAUUUGGAGCCACAGAACACUAGGUGGCAAUGAAGAGGUCUUAACAGAGUUUGCAGAAGGUGUGCAUCCCUAACCCAUUCCUCAGACUUCCCCUCAGUCUGUUCUCUGUGAGUCUGCUUCUGCUUUGUCGAUAGGUUCAUUUGUGCCGUAUUUUAGAUUCCAUCUAUAAGCGAGAUCAUACAGUACUUGCCUUUCUCUAAUUAAUUUCACUUAGCAUAAUAUCCUCUAGAUCUAUCCAUGGUAUCACAAAUUUCAUUUUCGUUCUUUAUGACUAAUAGCCCAGUGUGUGUGUGUGUGUGUACACACCACAUCUUCUUUAUCCAUCCACCUACUAUCAGUGGACCCUUAGGUUGCUUCUGUAUUUUCUUAGCUAGUGUAAACAAUGCUACAAUAAACACUGAGAUGUGCACAUAUAUUUUUGAAUAAGUAUUUAUAUUUUAUUUGGGUAAAUACACAGAAGUGAAACUGCUGGAUUAUAUGGCAAUUCUAUUAUUCUAAAUUUUUUGAGGAAGCUCCAAACCGUUUUCAGUAGUGGGUGCACCAAUUUAUAAUCCCACGAACAGUGCACAAGAGGUGCCUUUUCUCCACCUCCUCAUCAGCACUUGUUAUUUGUUGUCAGUAGUUUUGAUUUGCCUUCUCUUGAUGGCUAAUCAUGGUUAGCAUCUUUUUCAUGUGCGUAUUGGUCAUUUAUGUCUUUGGAGAUACGUCUAUUCACAUGUUUUGCUCAUUUUAAAAUCAGAUAGUUUUAAUUAUUGAUUUGACAGCUUUCACAUCUAAACAAAUAUUCCUGAUCUUAUAUAUUACUUGCAAAUAUUUGCUCCCAUUCUAAGUUGUGUUUUCACUUUUUGAUGAUGUCCUUUGAAGUGAAAGCCUUUUAAUUUUAAUGUAGACCAAUUUAUAUAUUUUUUUCUUUUGUCACUUGAGCCUUUGGUAUCAUAUCUAAGAACCUUUCACCUGACCAAGGUCAUAAAGAUAUAUUCUUACAUUUUCUUAUGAAUUUUAUAACUGUAUUCUUAAAUUUAGGAAUAUAAUCCAUUUGAGUUCAUUUUUAUGUGCAUUGUGAGAAGGGACUCGGUUUUAUUAUUUUUCUUAUGGAUGUCUAGUUCUUUCAUAUCAUUUGCUGAAAACACUAUUCUUUCUCCUUUUAAUUGUUUUGGAACCAUUGUCAAAAAUCAUUGACUAUAAAUCUGAAGGCCUAUUACUCAACUUUCAAUUCUAGUUUAUUUACAUA